Molecule: ribosomal RNA, 541 nt
Filed under: uncultured fungus
Lineage: Eukaryota; Fungi
Description: eukaryotic LSU rRNA
Rfam family: 5.8S ribosomal RNA (bases 171-324)
Source: RNAcentral
GUCUUCAUGGCCCGACCUCCACCCUCUGUUGUUAUACUACACUUGUUGCUUUGGCGGGACCGUCUCGGUCUCCGAGCGCACUAACCCUCGGGUUGGUGAGCGCCCGCCAUAGUCCAAUCAAACUCUUGUAUUAAAACAGUCGUCUGAGUAUAAAAUUUUAAUUAUAUUAAAACUUUCAACAAAGGAUCUCUUGGUUCUCGCAUCGAUGAAGAACGCAUCGAAAUGCGAUAAGUAAUGUGAAUUGCAGAAUUCAGUGAAUCAUCGAAUCUUUGAACGCACAUUGCGCCCCUUGGUAUUCCGAGGGGCAUGCCUGUUCGAGCGUCAUUACACCACUCAAGCAUCGCUUGGUAUUGGGAACGGUCCGUCGAAAGGCGGGCCUUCCUCGAAGACCUCGGCGGGGUUCAACCAACUUCGGGCGUAGUAGAGUUAAAUCGAACGUCUUAUAAGCUUGGUCGGAUCUCAUUGCCGUUAAACCUUUAAAUUUUCUAGGUUGACCUCGGAUCAGGUAGGGAUACCCGCUGAACUUAAGCAUAUCAAUAAG